RNAcentral lists this long non-coding RNA (2151 nucleotides) under Homo sapiens (human). RNAcentral describes it as "HSALNT0047369". Lineage: Eukaryota; Metazoa; Chordata; Mammalia; Primates; Hominidae. The record is from RNAcentral.
UGAUGGGAGGGGCUGCCUCAGUGGUCUCUGAAAUGCCCAGGAGACAUUUUCCCCAUUGUCUUGGCUAUUUAACUCUUCUUUACUUAUGCAAACUUCUGCAGCAGGCUUGAAUUUCUCCCCAGAAAAUGGAUUUUUCUUUUCUACCACAUGGCCAGGCUGCAAAUUUUCUAAACUUAUAUGCUGUACUUCCCUUUUAAAUGUAAGUUCCAGUUUCAGAUCAUCUCUUUGUUCAUGCAUAUGAGCAUACACUUUUAGAAACAGCCAGUUUACCUCCUGAAUGCUUUGCUGCUUAGAAAUUUCUUCCAGCAGAUACCCUAAAUCAUCUCUCUCAAGUUCAAAGUUCCACAGAUCUCUAGGGCAGGGGAAAAAAUGCUACCAGUAUCUUUGCUAAAGCAUAGCAAGAGUGACCUUUACUCUAGUUCUCAAUAAGUUCCUCAUCUCCAUCUGAGACCACUUGAGUCUGGACUUCAUUGUCCAUAUCACUAUCAGCAUUCUCAUCAAAACAAUUCAACAAAUCUUCAUGAAGUUCCAAACUUUCCCACGUCUUCCUGUCUUCUUCUGAGCUUUCCGAACUGUUCCAACCUCUGCCUGUUACCCAGUUCCAAAGUUGCUUCCACAUUUUCAGAUAUCUUUAUAGCUGUUAUAAAUAAUUUUCUGUAUAGUCCAUUUUCACACUGCUAUAAAGAGCUGCCUGAGACUGAGUAAUUUGUGAAGAAAAGAGGUUUAAUUCACUCACAGUUCUGCAGGCUUAACAGGAAGCAUGGCUGGAAAGCCUCAGGAAACUUACAAUCAUGGCAGAACUUAAAGGGGAAGCAAGCGUGUCUUACCAUGGCAGAGCAGGAGAGAGAAAGAGUGAAGGGGAAGUGCCACACACUUUCAAACAACCAGAUCGCAUGAGAAUUCACUCACAGUCAAGAACAGCAAUGGGGAAGUCCAUGCCCAUGAUUCAAUCACCUCUCACCAGACCCCUCCCCUGACAUGUGGGGAUUAAAAUUCAAGAUGAGAUUUGGGUGGGGAUGCAGAGCCAAACCAUAUCACAUGGUCAACACAAGCUUCUUGGUGAUGCCCCAAACUUCAGAACCAGUUAAAGGUUUACCAUCAGCCAGAAGAGCUGUGGGAAUGAGCCUCCCAGAAAGAAGAGAUGGAAGGUGUUUGGCAUCUGCAGUGAUGAUGAUGAUGAUGAUCAUGAUCAUGAUCAUGAUGCUGGCUAAAUGCCGACUCUGAGCCCUGCAUGAUGGCACCACAAAACUGCGCCCCUGCCUGAUUUCAUUUCAGCAAGCUUUACUGUGAAGUGUUUAUGUGCCAGGUACCAUGUGUAGAAGCGCUGGCCCAGAGAUGAAGAUGAAGUUUCUAUCCUUAAGGCAUGCAAUGUGGGAGAUGAACAGAGACAGGCAAGAGAGCCACAGAAGAGAAAGUGAUGUGAAGACAGAAGCAGGGAUUGGAGUGAUCCAUCUACAAGCCAAGAAAUACCAAUGGUUGCUGCCAGCCACCAGGAUCUAGGAGAGUGGCAUGGAACAGAUUUUCCCUUAGAGCUUCCAGAAAGAACUAACCCUGUCAACACUGUGAUUCUGGACAGUGAGAGAGAAAUUUCUAUUGUUUUAAGCCAUCAAGUUUGUGGUAAUUUGUUAUGGCAACCGUAGGAAACAUCACCCAGUAAAUCCAAAUUAAAUAUUAUCCCAAUUUUUGCUUGAUACCAGAAAUGGCUGUAGUGUUUCAACACCCUCUAGCAUAAGAGAAUUGUAACAGGGGAAGCUGGUGUGGAAACAGACAGCAGUCUGAACCAGUUUGGACAAAAAUACUGGUCUUGCAAAUUUUAGAAAAAGCACACAACCUCUGAACACAUGACUAGGGCCCCUUCCAGGAACUUAGAAGGGGCCCGGCCGAGGGAGAGUCCCUGAAGCUUAUGUUUAAUACAUUUUACAGAAGAGCUGCCUCGGUGUAGGAAGCAGUGUAGUGUUGCGAAGACAAGCUCUGGAGCCAGACACCCUGGGUUCAAAUCCCAAUUUCGCAACUGUCUAGCUGUUGACUUGAGAGAAGUUACUUAGCCUUUCUGCGCCCCAAUUUCUUCCUUCGUAAAAUAUAAAUGGCAGUAGCACUAUCUGCCUCAUAGGGUUGUUUACCUGGUGAAGUAACAUGAUACACAUAAGGCAC